Ochotona curzoniae (black-lipped pika) is the source of this 102-nucleotide small nuclear RNA. The record is from RefSeq and is a predicted model, not a curated record. Lineage: Eukaryota; Metazoa; Chordata; Mammalia; Lagomorpha; Ochotonidae.
GUGCUCACUUUGGCAGCACAUACACUAAAAUUGGAACAAUAGAGAUUAACAUGACCCUUGCCCAAGGAUGACACGCAAAUUUGUGAAGCAUUUCAUGUUAAA